Molecule: ribosomal RNA, 253 nt
Filed under: uncultured bacterium
Lineage: Bacteria
Description: partial 16S ribosomal RNA
Rfam family: Bacterial small subunit ribosomal RNA
Source: RNAcentral
CACGUAGGAGGCGAGCGUUGUCCGGAAUCAUUGGGCGUAAAGAGCGCGCAGGCGGCUUGGCAAGUCGGGUGUGAAAUCCCGGGGCUCAACCCCGUGACUGCAUCCGAUACUGUCAGGCUAGAGGUAGGUAGGGGAGAUCGGAAUUCCUGGUGUAGCGGUGAAAUGCGCAGAUAUCAGGAGGAACACCGGUGGCGAAGGCGGAUCUCUGGGCCUUAACUGACGCUCAGGCGCGAAAGCUAGGGGAGCGAACAGG